UUAUAAAGGCGACAUAAUAACCGUACCUAGAGUCUACCACAAGUAAGCAAGUAGAGUAUACGAAGGCGUUUGAGUGAACAAUCAUUAAGGAACUCGGCAAACUAACUACCGUAACUUAGGGAUAAGGAGAGCCAUUCCUCCUGAUUAAUAUCAGGUAAAGAAUAGGAAGCAUGGAAUAGUGUUGUACGACUGUUUAAUUAAAACAAAGCACUCUGCAGUAAGAUAAUAAAUCAAAGUAUUGAGUGUGAUUUCUGCCCGAUGUCGGCUGGUUAACGGAUUUGUUAAGUUGACUAAUAUAAGCUUGACUUUGAAGGAAACCCCGAUCAAUGGCGGCCUUAUUUUGAGGGUCCUAAGGUAGCGGAAUACCCUGGCCGUUAAAUGCGGUCUUGCAUGAAUGAUUUAACGAUACAACAGCUGUCUCAAUGAUUGGCUCAGUGAAAUUGGAAUAACUGUGCAGAUACAGUUUACCUCUAGUUAGACGAGAAGACCCUAUGCAGCUUUACUGUUGCUAGUUAUUGGAUAUGAUUGAAU
This 531-nucleotide non-coding RNA is filed under the name Pseudogymnoascus sp. VKM F-4520 (FW-2644). RNAcentral describes it as "Bacterial large subunit ribosomal RNA". It matches the Rfam family "Bacterial large subunit ribosomal RNA", at positions 1622 to 2132 of the family's 2925-position model. The record is from Rfam by way of RNAcentral. Lineage: Eukaryota; Fungi; Ascomycota; Leotiomycetes; Thelebolales; Thelebolaceae.